UUUGUAUCUGAAUCAAUUUAUUAAAUGCAUAUUUAAGUAAACAUAUCAAAUUGUUUAUAUUACCAUUUUGUUAGUUAUAUUUUAUAUUUAAUAUGGUCUGUUUCUUAUUUUUAAAUUCCUUCUUUCAAUGACAUUCCAGACUUUUAUGUUUUGUAUACUUAUCACACUUUACUUAUUGUACAUGAUUCAGCAAAUCAAAAGUAGGCUUUUUUUAAAAUACAGUUUUUUAUAAUUUUGUUAUAAUCUUCCAAUGGUAUUUUUGAAAGCAGUAGGUCCGGUAAGGGCCGAUUUUGGCCUAAAAUUUCAGGUUCAUCUAACGAAAGAUUUUGGACACUUUUUAAACACUUAAGUGUCUAUUUCAAUUGAUUUAAUUAGUUUAUGUGAAAGAUUUUCACUGAUUUAGUCAUUAAAAACACUCCGAUUCGAGCUUAAGGUGGUAUGGGUGUCUUCCUCCAUCUUGGAUUGUAAAAAACAGAGAACCAAAGGUCCAGAUUUUCUAUCAAGUUAGCAAUAUUUGAUGCAGGAAUGCAGAUAUUUAAUGUGAAUUUUCAUUUAAAAGAACCAAUUUAUAAGAAUAUAACUUAUAAAUAUUGAUAUUUUUGCAAAUGAUGAUUGUUUUUGGUUGUUUUUAAAAAUAAAUUAAAUUGGCAUUUUAAGGGAGGUAACUCUAAACAGAGCAUUUUCUGAAGGAUUCUACAUGGAAUUUUCCUAGUUUGUAUUUUAGCCGGAAAAAAGGUACGGUGACCCUAUCUUUUCUUUUGAUAUUCUCAAAGCAUUGUCUGAAAGCUAUCUUUUCCUUAAGUAUUUAACAAUUCUAUCAUUUUGUUUAGUUUUCUAAUCACAAAUUGUGUUUUUUCCUGUAUAAUCCAUACAAAAUGUGUCAUUUUGUCACGCCCUGUAGCUUGAGAAAAUGCACGGUGACCUAUCAUUUUUAUAACAUUUUUCAACAUAUAUCAAUAGAUACUAGGUUUUGGCAAAGUAUGAACAAAUUCUAUCAUUUUUAUUUUAGACUCCAAUACCACCUUAAAUAUGAAAAAUCUAUCAAAUAGCCAAAAAAACGUCACUUUUCAGAUGUUUUUUGUCAAAAAUGAAAGUGGCCGCAUCCAUGUUCAUCCUCAACCUUUAUAUAUGUUAUGUAUUAUCGUCAAAUACAACUUGCAUUUCAAUAUUAUGAAUGAACACGAAUGCGGCCACUUUCAUUUAAGACAUAAAUCAUCUAAAAUUUAAUUAAAAUGCUAAAAUUGCAAAGAUUUCAGUAAUUAAGCAUGACUUAAUGAUACUAGUACCAGAUAUAUGUGCAUUAUAUUCUCAAAAACUGCCCAUAUUUAUGUAGCAUUCUACUUUCCAGUAAAUAGCUUAAAGAUUACAUUUUGAUAAUUUUGUAAAACUGCUAUAUUUUGGGGCCAAAAACGGAUCUUACUGAACCUACUCCUUUGUUUGUUUAUUUUGUAUAACGAUAGUUGAUGUAUUGAAGAAAAUUUUUUGAAUUGCUUUGUCAUUAAUUUAUUAACAUUUUUAAAAAGAACUGAAUUGAUAUUUUUGUUUUUGGUCAGUCUAAUAGACUAUAAUCAUAAUAACUACUUAUGACAUUAACCUAUAGUAAAUGAGUUAAAGGUUUGGAUAUGGAAUUUUUAUGCCCCACCUAUGAUAGUAGAGGGGCAUUAUGUUUUCUAGUCUGUGCGUCCGUUUGUUUUUCCGUUUGUUCCACUUCAGGCUACAGUUUUUGGUCAAGGUAACUUGUGAUGAAGUUGAAGUCUAAUCAAAUUCAAAUAUAAUACACAUGUUCCCCAUGUUAUGAUCUUUCUAAUUUUAAUGUUAAAUUAAAGUUUUGACCCCAAUUUUACAGUCCAAUGAACAUAGAAAAUGAUAUUGCAAAGUUCAGGUUAAAGUUUUUGUUCAAGGUAGUUUUUGAUGAAGUUAAAGUCCAUUCAACUUGAAACUUAGUACACUUCUUCCCCAUGAUAUGUUCUUUCUAAUUUAAAUGCUAAAUUUAAGUUUUGACCCCAAUUUCAUGGUCCACUGAACAUGGAAAAUGAUAGUGCGAGUGGGGCAUCUGUGUACUAUGGACACAUUCCUGUUCUGAAUAGUAUUAUACAAAAAACAAUGCAGUUAGUUUUAUAAUGACCAAAUAUAUGAAAACUUCUUCAGGUUGUGUUUUCCUACUGUUAAAUGAAAAUUUUGAACAUAUUUUUUUACAUUUUACAUUUAUCAAUUGUACAUAAAUUUAUUUUAAUCAACAUAUUGCAUUAACAAAAG
RNAcentral lists this long non-coding RNA (2256 nucleotides) under Mytilus galloprovincialis (Mediterranean mussel). The record is from RNAcentral. Lineage: Eukaryota; Metazoa; Mollusca; Bivalvia; Mytilida; Mytilidae.